AGAAAGGAGCUCUGAAGAGCUGUACAAGGUGAGAGAUUUUUACAGACCCACGUGAGCAGGAACAAGGAAGUGAAACUGGGCAUUUGCUGAUUGGGUAAAGCAAGACUGCUUUCCUCAUAUGGAGAAAAGGGAAGUCUUGGAUCCUGGUCAGGUAACUUGGGCUGAGCAGCAACCUAGAGAGAAAGGCUUAGUCUCAUCUUACAGUGGAGGAAACUGAAGCUUAGAGAGCUUAAGCGACAUGCUCAAGUCCCUACAACUACAACAUGGAGGAGCCCGGAGGAUUUGAGCCAGGAUGGCGAAGGAUGAUGUAGCAUUUGGGAAAGAAGAGGCAGAAUAUGAGGCUUGCUCCUGAUGCCAAGAUGGCAAAGACCUGCAUGGCUACUAUGUCUUUGCUUCAGGCACUCAUGUACGCAGGGAUGAAGGACACUUAGGAUGGGGGUAUUUGGCCAUUGAGGUGUGACAGUCAUGGGAACAGAAAAAAGACAUGCAAGACUAAGAACCAUGUGGAAAAUGCUAUGGAUGUUUAGAGAAGGGAAUGAUAAACCCUGCCUGGAUGAGCUGGAGGAAACUGCAAGAAGCAUGGCAUGAUACUUGAGAUGCAACUGCACUUACAUUAGAAGUCCCCCACCUGGCGACCUUAGAUACUUAGGAGUCUGGGAAAGGACAAAUGGGGCUCUAUGGGCUGUUUUCCACUGUGUAAAAAAGCUUGGCAUCAAUUGUCUAUUUCCUGACAUAAGGCUACAAGGCUAAAACAGAGCAACUCCACAUAGACACACUAGCUAUCUCAGGAUAAACUUGAAUUGGCAAUUAUAUAUAAUUUUUUGCUAAGUUAUUUUAAUAUUAAUUCUAUUUCAUUCUUAUAAGGUAGUGAUUGUUUUUAUUUUCCACAUUAAGUCAAGAAACAAAAGAA
Molecule: long non-coding RNA, 910 nt
Organism: Balaenoptera ricei (Rice's whale)
Lineage: Eukaryota; Metazoa; Chordata; Mammalia; Artiodactyla; Balaenopteridae
Exons: 5
Source: RefSeq, a predicted model, not a curated record